This is a ribosomal RNA of Atta colombica, 2282 nucleotides long. It matches the Rfam family "Eukaryotic small subunit ribosomal RNA". The record is from Rfam. NCBI's taxonomy places the organism in Eukaryota, Metazoa, Arthropoda, Insecta, Hymenoptera, Formicidae.
UACCUGGUUGAUUCUGCCAGUAGUCAUAUGCUUGUCUCAAAGAUUAAGCCAUGCAUGUCUAAGUAUAAGCAAUUAUACGGCGAAACUGCGAAUGGCUCAUUAUAUAAGUUAUCGUUUAUUUGAUAGUAUCUUGCUACUUGGAUAACCGUGGUAAUUCUAGAGCUAAUACAUGCUAAAAAUCCCGACUUCGGAAGGGAUGUAUUUAUUAGAUUAAAAACCAAUGCCCUCUGGGCUCUCUUGGUGAAUCAUGAUAACUUCUCGAAUCGCAGGGCCUUGCGCCGGCGAUGGUUCAUUCAAAUUUCUUCCCUAUCAACUUUCGAUGUUUGGGUAGUGGCCAAACAUGGUUGCAACGGGUAACGGAGGGUUAGGGCUCGACCCCGGAGAAGGAGCCUGAGAAACGGCUACUACAUCCAAGGAAGGCAGCAGGCGCGCAAAUUACCCAAUCCCGAUCCGGGGAGGUAGUGACAAUAAAUACUGAUACAGGGCUCUUUUGGGUCUUGUAAUUGGAAUGAGUACAAUUUAAAUCCCUUAACGAGGAACAAUUGGAGGGCAAGUCUGGUGCCAGCAGCCGCGGUAAUUCCAGCUCCAAUAGCGUAUAUUAAAGUUGUUGUGGUUAAAAAGCUCGUAGUUGAACCUUGGGCCUGGCUGGCCGGUCCGCCUCACCGCGUGCACUGGUCCGGCCGGGCCUUUCCCUCUGUGGAACCCCAUGCCCUUCACUGGGUGUGGCGGGGAAACAGGACUUUUACUUUGAAAAAAUUAGAGUGCUCCAGGCAGGCCUAUGCUCGAAUACAUUAGCAUGGAAUAAUGAAAUAGGACGUGCGGUUCUAUUUUGUUGGUUUCUAGGACCGCCGUAAUGAUUAAUAGGGACAGUCGGGGGCAUCAGUAUUCAAUUGUCAGAGGUGAAAUUCUUGGAUUUAUUGAAGACUAACUACUGCGAAAGCAUUUGCCAAGGAUGUUUUCAUUAAUCAGGAACGAAAGUUAGGGGAUCGAAGACGAUCAGAUACCGUCGUAGUCUUAACCAUAAACUAUGCCGACUAGGGAUCGGACGAUGUUAUUUUUUGACUCGUUCGGCACCUUACGAGAAAUCAAAGUGCUUGGGCUCCAGGGGGAGUAUGGUCGCAAGGCUGAAACUUAAAGAAAUUGACGGAAGGGCACCACCAGGGGUAAACCUGACCUGUGAAGCCGCAGUCAACUCUGCUCCAGAAAGCCGCCCGAAAGGGUCGGUGGUGUUCCUAGGGGAGAGCUCUCCCCUAAACUAAUGGCUAGUCCUGCCGCCCGCGGCAGGGCGACACCCUCAAACUGACGGGGAACUCCUAAAGCCCUCGCUCCGGACAGGCGUCGGGAAACCGACGGCCUGCUCACCAGGCUAACGACCUCGGGUAUCGGAAGCAACGCGAGAGGAUGCUACAAUGGACAAUCCGCAGCCAAGCCCCUACGGUGCGGCCUCUACGGGGGUCGCAUACGGGGAAGGUUCAGAGACUUGACGGGGGUGGGUGGCGCGGGCUCUUGGGGUGCAAGCCGCGUGCUUGCUUGCAGGCCCAGGCGCCCGCCGCUGCCUAAGAUAAAGUCCGGGCGUGCGCGAAAGCGUGCGCGGCAACCACGCAACCCGCCGUUUCCAGCGGGUGCGAGGCCCCAGAAGUAAAAACAACCGGGAGCCUGCGGCUUAAUUUGACUCAACACGGGGAAACUCACCAGGUCCAGACACAAUGAGGAUUGACAGAUUGAGAGCUCUUUCUUGAUUUUGUGGGUGGUGGUGCAUGGCCGUUCUUAGUUGGUGGAGUGAUUUGUCUGCUUAAUUGCGAUAACGAACGAGACCUUAACCUGCUAAAUAGCCCGUAUUGCUUUGGCAGUACGCCGGCUUCUUAGAGGGACUAUCGGCUCAAGCCGAUGGAAGUUUGAGGCAAUAACAGGUCUGUGAUGCCCUUAGAUGUUCUGGGCCGCACGCGCGCUACACUGACGGAGCCAGCGAGUACUCCCUUGGCCGGAAGGCCCGGGUAAUCUUGUUAAACUCCGUCGUGCUGGGGACAGAGCAUUGCAAUUAUUGCUCUUCAACGAGGAAUCCCUAGUAAGCGCAAGUCAUCAGCUUGCGUUGAUUACGUCCCUGCCCUUUGUACACACCGCCCGUCGCUACUACCGAUUGAAUGGCUCAGUGAGGCGUCCGGACUGGCCCAGAGAGGUGGGCAACUACCACUCAGGGCCGGAAAGCUCUCCAAACUCGGUCAUUUAGAGGAAGUAAAAGUCGUAACAAGGUCUCCGUUGGUGAACCAGCGGAGGGAUCAUUA